AUGAACGCUGGCGGCGUGCUUAACACAUGCAAGUCGCACGGAAAGGCUCCUGCUUGCAGGGGUACUCGAGUGGCGAACGGGUGAGUAACACGUGGGUGAUCUGCCCUGCACUUCGGGAUAAGCCUGGGAAACUGGGUCUAAUACCGGAUAGGACGAUGGUUUGGAUGCCAUUGUGGAAAGUUUUUUCGGUGUGGGAUGAGCUCGCGGCCUAUCAGCUUGUUGGUGGGGUAAUGGCCUACCAAGGCGUCGACGGGUAGCCGGCCUGAGAGGGUGUACGGCCACAUUGGGACUGAGAUACGGCCCAGACUCCUACGGGAGGCAGCAGUGGGGAAUAUUGCACAAUGGGCGCAAGCCUGAUGCAGCGACGCCGCGUGGGGGAUGACGGCCUUCGGGUUGUAAACUCCUUUCGCUAGGGACGAAGCGCAAGUGACGGUACCUGGAGAAGAAGCACCGGCUAACUACGUG
RNAcentral lists this ribosomal RNA (465 nucleotides) under uncultured bacterium. RNAcentral's name for it is "partial 16S ribosomal RNA". It matches the Rfam family "Bacterial small subunit ribosomal RNA", at positions 29 to 507 of the family's 1533-position model. The record is from RNAcentral.